Engraulis encrasicolus (European anchovy) is the source of this 218-nucleotide long non-coding RNA. RefSeq lists it as uncharacterized. NCBI's taxonomy places the organism in Eukaryota, Metazoa, Chordata, Actinopteri, Clupeiformes, Engraulidae. The record is from RefSeq and is a predicted model, not a curated record. The transcript has 3 exons.
CGGAGACCGAGACCGAGUCGGAGGAGGAGAUCUCUGAAGAGGAAGCCGGGGGUCGGAGAAAAAUGGAUGUAUCAGAAUGGUGUACAUGUGGGCAUUGCUGCACUAUGGAGACGGAGGCAGAAAACAUUUGUUGCAGAGAGGUGACCGUGGUACUAAAUAGAAUGCAACAGCUGGAGUCACCAGUCCACUGCAUGACAGACCAUCCUGGCCUUCAUCCA